This 632-nucleotide long non-coding RNA is filed under the name Sorghum bicolor (sorghum). RNAcentral's name for it is "long non-coding RNA (SBIC_LNC015422)". The record is from RNAcentral. Lineage: Eukaryota; Viridiplantae; Streptophyta; Magnoliopsida; Poales; Poaceae.
GCCGGGGCGCGAGCAUGGCAGCGGGGCUCCUAUCACGAGCAGGGCGGCGGGUCAACGAGCCUUCUCCGUCAGCAGCUAUAAGUUUCAGACCUUAUUUUCAUAGACAGACAGCCCUUCCAAAGAAAAGAAAACAUACGCUAACUACUUAGACGCUGCCAGAAAAAAGAAAAGGGAAGAAAAGAAAAGAAGAAAAACUUACAUAACUACCGCCGAUGGAAAUCAAUCUUGUGACCAGCGUGUAGCGGGUCUGGCUGUAUCGCGCGGGAAGUUAUCGCUGCCUGAAUGCGCGUGAAACAAAAUUAUAUUUAAUUCACACGGCUUGUUUAGUUUCUGAGAAAAAAAAUUCACGACACUGUAACAUUUUCGUUUGUUUGUGAUAAUCAUUGUUUAACCAUAAACUAAUUAGGCUCAAAAGAUUUGUCUCGUCAAUUCGGACCAAACUGUGCAAUUAGUUUUUAUUUUCGUCUAUAUUUAAUACUCUAUGCAUACGUCUAAAGAUUCGAUGUAACGGAAAAUCUGAAAAAAUUUGUAAAUUUUUUUGGAACUACGCAAGGACAAGGCCGCAGUAGGAGAUGGCAGCACCUCUGGCAGGCAGCACCAAUCACAUCAGCACAGGCCCGGUUCACGCUGGC